AACGCACAUUGCGCCCGCCUGUACUCAGGCGGGCAUGCCUGUCUGAGCGUCAUUUCAACCCUCAGGGCCCGUUCGCGGGACCUGGCGUUGGGGAUCAGCCUGCCUCCGGGCGGCUGGCCCUUAAAACUAGUGGCGGUCCUCUCGCGACCUCCUCCGUGCAGUAGUUAAUACCUCGCGGCUGGAUAGCGGUUGGCCCACGCCGUUAAACCCCCCACUUCUCAAGGUUGACCUCAGAUCAGGUAGGAAUACCCGCUGAACUUAA
This 262-nucleotide unclassified non-coding RNA is filed under the name Acremonium sp. RNAcentral's name for it is "partial contains 5.8S ribosomal RNA, internal transcribed spacer 2, and large subunit ribosomal RNA". The stretch from base 1 to 52 matches the Rfam family "5.8S ribosomal RNA", at positions 103 to 154 of the family's 154-position model. Lineage: Eukaryota; Fungi; Ascomycota; Sordariomycetes; Hypocreales; Bionectriaceae. The record is from RNAcentral.